Molecule: long non-coding RNA, 2524 nt
Organism: Meriones unguiculatus (Mongolian gerbil)
Lineage: Eukaryota; Metazoa; Chordata; Mammalia; Rodentia; Muridae
Exons: 3
Source: RefSeq, a predicted model, not a curated record
UCCAGUUUGGAAAUAAAUACUAGACCCAACGAGCACAUCGAUGUUUCAUUCCUGGAUUAUCAACUUUGUAAAUUUUUUAAAAAAUAAAUCCCAGAUUUUGGGAAUGUGCAGAGGCAUGGAUUCCACCUUUCUUCCUCACACUCCAAGCAAGAAGGGAAGAUCGGAUGGAAAGCAACAAAACACCUAAUUUGGAGCCUGAGAACUCAAAGGACAACCUCAGAAAGCUGUAGAAGAGUCUGCUCUCAGCAGAGAGAAGAAACACUGUGUGAAAACAGCGCACAGGGACAGCUGUGCAGCUCUGUCCCAUGCUUUGGGGAAGACACUCCUCAGUCCUUCGUGGAAGUGUGAUUGAUCCCUGCACCCAGACACCUGAAGGGGAGCCAGAUGCCUUGAUCUCUUAGCAGCGAGGGUAUGUUGUCAACUUUCAAGUCCCAACAGUCAAGUGUGUUGGUCAUAUAUCCUCUACAGUGGGGGCAUAUUAAUGAUUCAUUCAUUUUGUUAGUUUUUUGUUUGUUUAUCUGUUUGUUUACUAUUUGGUCCAAGUUUGAUCUUGAAGGUUCAGAUUCAAGAUAGACAUUGAAAACACAUGUGUAAGAACAAAAUCCAACCAGCUGAUAAGCAAAAUUCUGACAAGAAUCUAAUAUAAUAUAUAUACAUAUAUUAUAUUAUAUAUAAUAUAUAUAUGUAAUAGAAAAUAUAUACCUGGCCAAUAAGGCAAUUAGGACCACAUCUGGUUUCCUGGAGCAUGAGUGACAGUAUAAUGCUGGUGCCAUUGAGACAACAAGGAAUUGUGAUCCUGAAUGGAUCGUUUGUUUGGCAGACAAGGUAGUCUCCCUUUGCCUGCUUCUUUAGGAGCAGAGAUGUAUCUGUCUCCCCACUGCUACAUCCCUCUCCCCCAAUAUCACAAAAUGGCUUCCUUCCGGACCCUUGCAACAGCCUUCUGCACCAUUGGGUAUAGUUGGGGAAAGGGUGCUAAACUUCAGGGCAGAGAACUCAGAAGGUGGGUGAGGAAAUCAAGCAUAUGGAAGAGACUGGUUUUUGCUCAGCUCUCCACUUUGUAGCAGAGCCAGACUGACUUAUCACUAGCAAGGCGGUGGCAUGAUGGUGACUCAACACAGACAUACUCACCUACUCUGCAGGAUGGAAGUGUCAAUAUAGUGUCAAUUUCCUUGUUUCCAAGUCUUUGUCAAUGCCCCCAGUUUCCUAUGAUCACCCAAUUACAUGAUCUUUGAGAAAUGCUUGUCAUAUUAAUAGGACACUUUCUCUCUAAGCCUUAUGGGGUCUAUCAGCUCAUGUCUGCUACCUCCAGGAUGUGGACAACUAGGAGACAACAGAGAACUUCUUUUGGGAUAUGCUGUGUGUCCAAGAGAACCUUAAUCUAAGUCUACCGUUCCCCAAGCCAGUCACAAAUGUAGGUAGAUACAAACCUUGGAUGCACUUUAUGUUCCUUGUCAAUUAACAAAACUUACUUCAUUCCAGUAAAAGUAUAUGGAAUAGUUGCUAAUGUUCUUAAGGAUUUCUGAACAUUUAAGGCUAUUUUUGGAGUGAUAUGUUACACUAUAUGGGAAAAUUACUGCUGUAUCACUUGGAUAAAAAUGGUACAAUGUUAUCUAUAAUUUAACCUUGUCACCUGAUUCGUAGUCAAUGUCUACUAUACUAUUUUUAUUUCUAAUUUUAAUUAUAUAUAAAAAUUCUAUGUCACUGACCACAGCUAUUCUUUGUUACUAAAGUUUUUUUUUGUUUAUUUUCUUUUAGGACGUUAAACUUUUACAGGUGCCCUAUAUAAUUAUUAAAUUUUGAAUUUUAAUAUGAUCUAAAACUGUACUUUCAUAGGUUAACUUAAGUUGUUUAUAGAUAUAGCUAUGUCUGAUUUAAUGUCUGUCAUUUCUAUGGUUUCUGGUUUAAUUUUUCAUCUACUAUUCUAUUUCAUGGAUUUGUUUGGUAGACUAUGUUUUAUUUGCAUUGGAUAUUUUUGCAAUGCCUUUGAAGGUAGAGAAGCUUGUUUAAAUGCUUUAUUGCAGUUAUCCUUUUCAUUUUCAGAUAUAUAUUUUUAGGGAGAAGAGAAAGCUAAAAAUCUCUUAACAAGAUCAUUGGCAUGUCAAUUUUUCUUGGGAUCCUGUUUUUGCUUCCUAUGAUUUGAGGCAAUAAUGCUAUGAAUAACAGCGAUGCCAGAGUUCAUGAUGCCAGGCACUACCAACACUGGGCCAGUGUCUUUAAUGUAACAAUGUUAAAAGGUUUAACUAGUGUCCCAGUUUUCAAUACUGGAAACCUGGGGCACAGGGCGUUUAACCAACUCCCUUAAGGUGCCUACAGCUAGUAAAUGCAGGCAGUGAAUGGGAGCUGGAAGUCAAGCUCAAGCCAUCCAGGUGUGAGGAGCUGCACUGCCUUCAGGCUUUGUUGUUGAACACAUUGAGGCUCUACACUGCUAUAACCCAGUGAACUCUCUUUUGUCUUUAUGGCUUUGUUUUCUUUAUCAUUACCAAUGAAACUGGAUGAAGUCUAAUCUAAUAUUAACAUCCCUGUA